CCUGCCCCUAGAAGUGUUAUAGUUAUGGCAGCUGUGUCACUUGUGCAUCAGUAGGUAGCAGAGUUGAAAGAGCCUAUAUCUAGGCUCAGUGUAGUGACCUAUGGACAUCUGAAUGAUUAGUGGACUAACACU
Molecule: small nucleolar RNA, 132 nt
Organism: Arvicanthis niloticus (Nile rat)
Lineage: Eukaryota; Metazoa; Chordata; Mammalia; Rodentia; Muridae
Product: small nucleolar RNA SNORA17
Source: RefSeq, a predicted model, not a curated record